This 497-nucleotide ribosomal RNA is filed under the name uncultured bacterium. RNAcentral's name for it is "partial 16S ribosomal RNA". It matches the Rfam family "Bacterial small subunit ribosomal RNA", at positions 28 to 507 of the family's 1533-position model. The record is from RNAcentral.
GACGAACGCUGGCGGCGUGCCUAAUACAUGCAAGUCGAGCGAACAGACGCGGAGCUUGCUCCUCUGACGUUUGCGGCGGACGGGUGUGUCACACGUGUAUACCCUACCUAUCAGACUGAGAUCACUUCGGGAAUCCGGCGCUUAUACCGGAGAAUCUAUUGAUCCGCAUGGGUCAUUAGUGAAUGUCGGCUUUGCUGUCUCUUCUCGCUGGUUUCGCGCUGCAUUAGCUAGUUGGUAAGGUAACGGCUUACGAAGGCAACGAUGCGUAGCCGACUUGAGAGGGUGGUCGGCCACACGGGAACGGAGACACGGACCAGAGUACUACGGUAGGCAGCAGUAUGGAAUGUGCCGCAAUAGGCGAAAGCCUGACAGAACAGCGCGACGUGUGAUAUGAAGGUCUUGGGAGCGUAAAACUCUGUUAUUGGGGAAGAACAAAUGUGUAAUUAAAUAUGCACUGAUUGACGGUAACGAAUCAGAAAGCCACGGCUAACUACGUG